Molecule: ribosomal RNA, 366 nt
Filed under: uncultured eukaryote
Lineage: Eukaryota
Description: partial 18S ribosomal RNA
Rfam family: Eukaryotic small subunit ribosomal RNA
Source: RNAcentral
CAAUAGCGUAUAUUAACGUUGUUGCAGUUAAAAAGCUCGUAGUUGGAUCUCUGGAGGGAGCGUCGGCCCGUAUUUACGAGUGCGUGACGUCUCUGUCCAUCCUUGCGGGAAGGCACGGCAUUGAUUUGUUGUGUCGGAUCGCAUCAUUUACUGUGAAAAAAUUAGAGUGUUCAAAGCAGGCUUUCGCUUGAAUACAUUAGCAUGGAAUAAUAAGAUAGGACUUUGGUGCUAUUUUGUUGGUUGAGCCUAAAGUAAUGAUUAAUAGGGAUAGUUGGGGGCACCUGUAUUGCGUUGUCAGAGGUGAAAUUCUUGGAUUUACGCAAGACAAACAGCUGCGAAANCGNNNGCCAAGGAUGUUUUCAUNAA